GUGGGGAAUAUUGGACAAUGGGCGCAAGCCUGAUCCAGCCAUGCCGCGUGAGUGAUGAAGGCCUUAGGGUUGUAAAGCUCUUUUGUCCGGGAAGAUAAUGACUGUACCGGAAGAAUAAGCCCCGGCUAACUUCGUGCCAGCAGCCGCGGUAAUACGAAGGGGGCUAGCGUUGUUCGGAAUCACUGGGCGUAAAGCGCACGUAGGCGGACCAUUAAGUCAGGGGUGAAAGCCUGGAGCUCAACUCCAGAACUGCCUUUGAUACUGAUGGUCUCGAGUAUGGAAGAGGUUGGUGGAACUGCGAGUGUAGAGGUGAAAUUCGUAGAUAUUCGCAAGAACACCGGUGGCGAAGGCGGCCAACUGGUCCAUUACUGACGCUGAGGUGCGAAAGCGUGGGGAGCAAACAGGAUUAGAUACCCCAGUAGUCC
RNAcentral lists this ribosomal RNA (425 nucleotides) under uncultured bacterium. Its description in RNAcentral is "partial 16S ribosomal RNA". It matches the Rfam family "Bacterial small subunit ribosomal RNA", at positions 354 to 796 of the family's 1533-position model. The record is from RNAcentral.